AGGAAGUGAAGCCUGCCAACAACCAUGAGAGGGAGGCUGGAAGCAGACCUGCAGUGCACUCAAGCUUCCAGGAUCAAUCACAGUGGGAGCAAGCCAACUGCCACAUAAUGGAAGGCACUCAAGCAACCCUAUGGAGAGCCCCACAAGGUAACUGAAGGUUCUGGCCAAAAGAUAGUGAAGAACUGAGGCAUCAUGUCAACAGCUGAAUGAGUGAACUUGAGAGCAGAUUCUCCAGCCCCAGUCAAGCCUUUGGAUUACUGCAGGCUUGGUCAAUCAUCUUUAUUUUGAUUUUAUGAGAGACCUCACUCCUGAACCACCAGGGAAAGACAAUUCCCAUGUCAUGAAGACACUUCACCGGCCAAGUGGGAAGGCUCACAUCAUGAGCCUAAGGAAACUGAUGCUAAAAGAUACAAAAUCUGAAAUUUGAAGAAGUAUUUGCCCGAGGUCACAAAGCCAGGGGAGCUACCUACACUCUUAAUCACUACACCGUUUCUCUUACCUUCCAGGAUUAUGUUAAGGAUCAAGGAAAAGACAACUAGCAAGAGUGCUUUGUAAAUUAUAAUAUGCCAAAUACAAUCUUAGCUAUAGUUCUGCAAAAAUAGGAAUGAUAUUAAAUUGAGAGUCAUAACUUGGAGUUGCCCUGACACCAGAGCCUAGAGAACACCUAAAUGAACCAGAGAAGAGGGCAGA
Gorilla gorilla gorilla (western lowland gorilla) is the source of this 690-nucleotide long non-coding RNA. RefSeq lists it as uncharacterized. The transcript is spliced from 4 exons. The record is from RefSeq and is a predicted model, not a curated record. NCBI's taxonomy places the organism in Eukaryota, Metazoa, Chordata, Mammalia, Primates, Hominidae.